CUUCUGCAUUGUUUCAUGUGUUCUGUUUUUGAUCUCUGGCAUGCUGUCCUUUGCUGCAGGAACAUGUCCAAACAUGCAUGUGACCAAACUGUCCUUCUCCCUGAACAUCAUCGGCUUCUUCUGGUCAUUGGUGACUUUUUCUAUCAUCAUUAUAGCACCUUUUCGUCGUU
Molecule: long non-coding RNA, 170 nt
Organism: Fundulus heteroclitus (mummichog)
Lineage: Eukaryota; Metazoa; Chordata; Actinopteri; Cyprinodontiformes; Fundulidae
Exons: 3
Source: RefSeq, a predicted model, not a curated record